AACAAUGAACAACUUCUAGUUUUGUUACCAAGAAGCCAUCACUGUUAACUUUUCGGAUGAGUUUCUCCUGGUAUUAUUUUGAAUGGGUGUGUAGGCACGUGUGUGUGCAUAAACAGGGAUUAUGCAACGUAAAGAGAUUUGCAUCUUUCUUUCUCGUACUUCGCACCUACUACAUACACUUCUCCACGUCAUUCGAUAAUUUAAAUAACGUGGUUUUCUAUGCUUCCUUAGAUUGCACUGUAUAUUUGAGCGUGCCUUAGAAAAUCAUUAAUAUCAAUAAGUGUCUUCGAGUUUUUCACUGUUACAAGUAAUGUGGCAAUGAGCAUUCUUUCUUACAAAUCUUUGACUAUGUGCCCUUAGGGGGGUCACACAGGAUAGAUUCCUAGACACCCAUUUAGUGCAUCUAAGUGUACGAAUGGUUCAAAGAAAUUAGUACAGGUGGCUAAGUGGUCCUCCAGAAAUGUGCCAGAUUAACUUCCUGCCAUCAGCGUGUGAAAGUGACCACUUCCCACACCCUCACCAGCACCGAGCAGGCUCAGACAAGGCCAUCAACAAAUGCUGUCGGCUCGAACUCGGGGACCGUCCGAAGCCAUUCGCUUUCCUCCAUUCCCACUGCUGCCUCCCGUGCAAGCCACUAUAGGCCCUUGGAUAGAGUGGAGUCCUCACUUCCACCCUGGCAGUCAGCACCUCAGCACCUAGCGUGGCCUUUCACGAAUGCCGAUCAGAUGACGCCCCUCUGCUCAGCCUGCUCUGUGCCUCCUGCCUCACCUAAGACAAAAUCCACACUUCUGCCCCAGCUCACGAGGUUCACUACCGCUGCUUUGUCUCUGCUCCAGCCACACUGGCCUUCUGCAAACCGUCAAGGUCAUCUCGUCUCGGGGUCCCUCAGCUCCUCCUUCCUCCAGGCAUCCUCCUUUCCUGGGGUGGGCUCCACAAUCUGCAGACGAUCCCUCCCACUGCCCUGUUCUGAUCACCCCUCAUUACUCUGGGAUAUUUUUAAACCCAUGGAUAUGACCUAUUUCUAAGCUCUAGGAGAGUCUGUUUCAUUUCAUUCCCUUCUCCGCUCCCAGUGCCCAGAGAGGUGCCUGGCAUAGAACAGGCUCUUGAUAAAUGUUGAGUUAACUAGUGAAUGGGUGGAAAGAUGCUGCUUAUGCACUACUUUUGGAUGCCAGGCCUUUGUUUGUAGGGUUCCGGCAGGCUGCAAUCCGUUAAUCUGUUCAGUCUGUUUUUUAGAGAUAAUUUCUAAACUUCUGUCCUUCAUGGCCGACGCAGAAGGCCUUUCUCAGCCUGAUGUGAUGUCUCCCUUCUUUGAGCCCCGUAGCGCCUCGUGCUUCUUGGAGACACUUAGUCCUUGCUGAGUAUGUCCUGGGCCUUUAAGUCUCUAAUUAAGUCCAACAGAAUUUCAGGGUCUUGACGACGUGUUUCCCCACCUGUUUCUUCCACAGCAGCCAGUAUGGCAUCACACACAGGCUGGGGGCUCUACGAACAUUUGCUCGAUUGAAACCGUUCUUGCUGUCAUUGCCUUGCGUAGCAUGUUGGGGCUGAUAAAAAUAUUUCAUGAAACAUGCUCUGAUCGGGUUCCUGUUUUCAAGAAAAACAUCCCAACCUUGCCAUCAGUUAGAACCUUACAGAUUCUGAACUGGAGUGAGGUGGGACGUGGGGAGGGAGGGGGUCAGGAAUACGCCAGGGGUUUGACUUGAGCACGUUGGGAGCGUGGGGAGCGAUUCUGUAUAAAUCGGGGCUAUUCUUUCUUCCCAACUCAAAAACUCAUUAGAAUAUCUAUGGAGACAGUCCUCCAGCCUCUGUUUUUCUUAAUUUGACAAACCCACGUUGGCCCUGUUUAUCUCUCGAUGUAUCUCCAAAGACUGUCAUAUUUCUGGUUUCCUGAUGAAUUGGGCUGCUCGUGGCUGGGCAGCCGGGGCUGGUGACAUCACUGCAGGCUGUCUGCAUUCGGUCUAAAUGACAAGGCCUGACGCUUUGCUCAGCGUCUCCCUCUUGCUUGCAGGGAUGAGGAAGGGAACAUCUGUAGGUGGUAACCGGGAAGGCAAACUUACAGGGAAAAGGGUAUGGUGGGGUGGGUGGAACAGACAGCUGGGCAGUUGGGGCAGGGAGAAGAGAGGCUCUCGCAUUGUCCAGUGUUCCUUGAAAUCCCGUGCAACAUGACAUCAUGGACCACGCCCUGCCCGAAACAGCCUUUACACGGCCAUCUGGCACUUGACUUUCCUAGGACUUGAACUUUGCUGCCGAAAGUCUGUCUCACCUCGCGAGUCGUCUUUUACCUCCCUCGUCUCACACUGUCCCCAGGGCAGCGGAUCCUACGUGUGUACAUUCUUGCAAGAGUGCAGCACAGAUUAGACACAGUUUUUUAUUCCCCCCCUCUUAAUUUCCUUUCUAUUACUCCAUUGUCAAGUUUCCAAUACUAUAAUUUUAUCUCUUACCAAG
Long non-coding RNA from Leopardus geoffroyi (Geoffroy's cat), 2442 nucleotides. RefSeq lists it as uncharacterized. The record is from RefSeq and is a predicted model, not a curated record. NCBI's taxonomy places the organism in Eukaryota, Metazoa, Chordata, Mammalia, Carnivora, Felidae. The transcript has 2 exons.